Pelobates cultripes (western spadefoot toad) is the source of this 276-nucleotide non-coding RNA. The record is from the annotation of a GenBank genome assembly. Lineage: Eukaryota; Metazoa; Chordata; Amphibia; Anura; Pelobatidae.
AUUCCAUUCACCAGACCCUCUGCCUUCCGGAAGACAAGAUCAAGACCAUAAAAAAGGAAAUCAGACGAAUCUUACGAGCUCCAGACUUAUCAAUCAGACAACUGGCUCGAAUCAUAGGCCUGCUUGCCUCAUCCAUCCAGGCAAUAUUUCCAGGUCCAUUACACUACCGGGCACUGCAAAGACUCAAGGGCUCCUAUCUCCGUACUGGCCACACAUACGAAACGCGUCUCACUCUCGACACAGAGUCCAGAGGGGAACUAGUUUGGUGGCUCGCCC